This 397-nucleotide ribosomal RNA is filed under the name Babesia caballi. Its description in RNAcentral is "SSU rRNA". It matches the Rfam family "Eukaryotic small subunit ribosomal RNA", at positions 440 to 901 of the family's 1831-position model. The record is from RNAcentral. Lineage: Eukaryota; Apicomplexa; Aconoidasida; Piroplasmida; Babesiidae.
AUUACCCAAUCCUGACACAGGGAGGUAGUGACAAGAAAUAACAAUACAGGACUAAUAGUCUUGUAAUUGGAAUGAUGGCGACUUAAACCCUCGCCAGAGUAACAAUUGGAGGGCAAGUCUGGUGCCAGCAGCCGCGGUAAUUCCAGCUCCAAUAGCGUAUAUUAAACUUGUUGCAGUUAAAAAGCUCGUAGUUGAAUUUCUGCGUUGCGUUGUUCUUGCUUUUUGCUUGAUUUUCGCUUCGCUUUUUGUUUUUACUUUGAGAAAAUUAGAGUGUUUAUCGCAGACUUUUGUCUUGAAUACUUCAGCAUGGAAUAACAUAGUAGGACCUUGGUUCUAUUUUGUUGGUUUGGGACCUUGGUAAUGGUUAAUAGGAACGGUUGGGGGCAUUCGUAUUUAA